Molecule: long non-coding RNA, 406 nt
Organism: Biomphalaria glabrata
Lineage: Eukaryota; Metazoa; Mollusca; Gastropoda; Planorbidae
Exons: 2
Source: RefSeq, a predicted model, not a curated record
GGUGUGUCCAUGCUCUGGCCUCAUCACUGUCACCAUAGGUGUUAAGGCUCUUCUCAAUGUAAAGAUGGAUGUACCUCUGGAGGGGCUGCAAGAGACAUUCACACAUUAGUCACAAUGAUGCAACACAGUUUACUAAAGUUCAGCCUUUACUUUAAACUAGAAAAUUAUGGCUACUAGCAAAAUGAAGAUACAAAUUUGAACGAAAAAGUUUCUCUGUGACAAUAUUAAAAAAUUCCAGAAUUUAUAUCAACAAAGACUGACCAGAGGACAAGGUUGUUUCCAGCAUUCUGUCUGCUACCAGCUCUAGCCAACAGUUUCUUCCAUGAACUUAUGAGAGAUUUCCUGUCACUGUCAACAUUUAAUAAUACUUUUGUCAACUCAAAGAAUAAAGCAGUGUCAUAAAACA